GACGAACGCUGGCGGUGUGCUUAACACAUGCAAGUCGAACGGGUCUGCCCUGUUUUUUGCGGGGUGGGUCAGUGGCGAACGGGUGAGUAACACGUGAGUAACCUGCCCCUCACUUCCGGAUAACCGCUUGAAAGGGUGGCUAAUACGGGGUGUUCUGGCUGUGCCGCAUGGUGUGGCUGGGAAAGAUUCACUUUUGUGGUGUUUUGGUGGGGGAUGGGCUCGCGGCCUAUCAGCUUGUUGGUGGGGUGAUGGCCUGCCAAGGCUUUGACGGGUAGCCGGCCUGAGAGGGUGGGCGGUCACACUGGGACUGAGAUACGGCCCAGACUCCUGCGGGAGGCAGCAGUGGGGGGUAUUGCACAAUGGGCGGAAGCCUGAUGCAGCGACGUCGCGUGAGGGAUGGAGGCCUUCGGGUUGUGAACCUCUUUCGCCGGUGAAGAAGGUCCUGCUCUUUGUGGUGGGGUUGACGGUAGCCGGGUUAUGAAGCGCCGGCUAACUACGUG
RNAcentral lists this ribosomal RNA (500 nucleotides) under uncultured bacterium. RNAcentral describes it as "partial 16S ribosomal RNA". It matches the Rfam family "Bacterial small subunit ribosomal RNA", at positions 28 to 507 of the family's 1533-position model. The record is from RNAcentral.